UGUGAGCAUAUAAAGUGUAUUUUAAAUCCCAACUGAGAGCACAAUGUAAACAGCUUUUCUAAACAGUGCUAUCCCACUCAAUUUACAUUUAGUAAAGGCACAAAACCAAUAAAAUGCUAAUAAAGUAUAAAUAUCUUAAUGUAGUAUAGAUAUCUGACAACUGUUUUAACUUUUUUCUCUUUUGUUCUCCUUAUUUAUGAAUUUAAGAAAAUGGCCAUGUGAACCAAUUUUAGCCCAAGAAAAUUGACCAGAGUGUUAGACAAUUUUCUGAGCGUAUCAACAGAGAUAUAUUUUUGGACAUACAGAAAGAUAAACCCUUGAGAUUUAACAUGAAAUCAUGCUUGUGAACACAAAACCAAAAUUUUUAAUGUGCUAAGCCACUUUUCCUGUCCUGUGUUAUCAUCAAUAGGUGUUCUAUAGAAAAAGGA
This 428-nucleotide long non-coding RNA is filed under the name Bos taurus (domestic cattle). RNAcentral describes it as "long non-coding RNA NONBTAT007021". Lineage: Eukaryota; Metazoa; Chordata; Mammalia; Artiodactyla; Bovidae. The record is from RNAcentral.